RNAcentral lists this ribosomal RNA (253 nucleotides) under uncultured bacterium. RNAcentral's name for it is "partial 16S ribosomal RNA". It matches the Rfam family "Bacterial small subunit ribosomal RNA", at positions 524 to 776 of the family's 1533-position model. The record is from RNAcentral.
UACGUAGGGGGCAAGCGUUGUCCGGAUUUAUUGGGCGUAAAGCGUGCGCAGGCGGCGCCGCAAGUCAGGCGUGAAAUCCCCGAGCUUAACUUGGGAAUGGCGCUUGAAACUACGGUGCUGGAGUGUGGCAGAGGGAGGUGGAAUUCCACGUGUAGCGGUGAAAUGCGUAGAGAUGUGGAGGAACACCGAUGGCGAAGGCAGCCUCCUGGGCCACCACUGACGCUCAUGCACGAAAGCGUGGGGAGCAAACAGG